Molecule: ribosomal RNA, 412 nt
Filed under: bacterium enrichment culture clone ALO1_GLFRUDD03G47O1
Lineage: Bacteria
Description: bacterial SSU rRNA
Rfam family: Bacterial small subunit ribosomal RNA
Source: RNAcentral
GAGUUUGAUCGUGGCUCAGAUUGAACGCUGGCGGCAUGCCUUACACAUGCAAGUCGAACGGCAGCACGGGAGCUUGCUCCUGGUGGGCGAGUGGCGAACGGGUGAGUAAUGCAUCGGAAUGUAUCCUGGAGUGGGGGAUAACGUAGCGAAAGUUACGCUAAUACCGCAUAUUCUGUGAGCAGGAAAGCGGGGGACCUUCGGGCCUCGCGCUCUUGGAGCGGCCGAUGUCGGAUUAGCUAGUUGGUGAGGUAAAGGCUCACCAAGGCGACGAUCCGUAGCAGGUCUGAGAGGAUGAUCUGCCACACUGGAACUGAGACACGGUCCAGACUCCUACGGGAGGCAGCAGUGGGGAAUUUUGGACAAUGGGGGCAACCCUGAUCCAGCCAUGCCGCGUGAGUGAAGAAGGCCUCGG